UAGGGAAUCUUCCACAAUGGGCGAAAGCCUGAUGGAGCAACGCCGCGUGUGUGAUGAAGGGCUUCGGCUCGUAAAACACUGUUGUAAGAGAAGAAUGACAUUGAGAGUAACUGUUCAUACGUUGACGGUAUUUAACCAGAAAGUCACGGCUAACUACGUGCCAG
Molecule: ribosomal RNA, 164 nt
Filed under: uncultured bacterium
Lineage: Bacteria
Description: partial 16S ribosomal RNA
Rfam family: Bacterial small subunit ribosomal RNA
Source: RNAcentral